UCACGCAGAGCUUCUCAGAAUGCUGCGAUUGUUUCUCAUCCUAGCCUUCUGCUUCACUGCUGUGUUGUCUCAGGGAUGGAGAAGAAGGUGGUCUCCCUUGGGAAAUAAUGACUGGUGGAACAAUGACAACGGACCGUGGGGCAAUAAUAACGGAUGGUGGGGCAAUAAUAAUAACGGAUGGUGGGGCAAUAAUGACUGGUGGAACAAUAAUAACGGAUGGAACAAUAAUGGAUGGUGGAAUAAUUAAAUGGCAGGACAUUUCAAUAGAAGUUUAUGUGGAAAAGAAGAUGGGAAAUGUUAAUCAUGUUUUAAUCAUGAGAAUAACUAUUAAAAUACACUGUGAAUAUUUUGA
This is a long non-coding RNA of Saccostrea cuccullata (small rock oyster), 352 nucleotides long. RefSeq lists it as uncharacterized. The record is from RefSeq and is a predicted model, not a curated record. The transcript has 2 exons. Lineage: Eukaryota; Metazoa; Mollusca; Bivalvia; Ostreida; Ostreidae.